UGCAUCUGAGGCCAGUGAGGAUGAGAACCUCCGGGGGCAGGAGGUUCGACUCGAGCGAAGCGAGAGAACGUUGCGUCAGCAACGGCCCGCAGGGCGAGCCACGAA
This 105-nucleotide small RNA is filed under the name Klebsiella pneumoniae. Its description in RNAcentral is "partial RtT sRNA". It matches the Rfam family "RtT RNA", at positions 1 to 102 of the family's 130-position model. Rfam says of the family: This family represents a bacterial cis-regulatory element known as RtT RNA. The exact function of RtT is unknown although it is thought that it may be involved in changing the cellular response in relation to amino acid starvation. The record is from RNAcentral. Lineage: Bacteria; Pseudomonadati; Pseudomonadota; Gammaproteobacteria; Enterobacterales; Enterobacteriaceae. RNAcentral also lists the same sequence under 1 other name.